GUUUUUAACCACAGGACUUUGCCACAGUUCAACCACUACAACCACCCUCAACUCAUCAAAACACUGCAACAUUAGAGAAUUUUCAAUCUGUUGUCCUGUGCAACUGUUGCUUCCAGCCUCAGAAACAAUUUCUUGCAAAAUAGUUUGAUCUAUUUUGUCCCUUGUGACAAGCCACCAUAGCCAUACACAACCCACCCCUCUCCCUGUAUCAUACAACCAGUGUCACCAGAGUUAUUAAAGGCGAGCCUCAUGCACAAGGCACAAAGGAUGUAAAGGAAAGCAUGAAAUUCUUCUUUUCACUCUUGUUGCUACCAUUCAAGGACUUGUUUGUUCUCUGAAUUCAGUUCUUGAUUCUUGCGCACUACAAGACUCGAGGUCAAGUUUUCUCUAAAUAGAGAAGAACAAUGAAAUCAAGGAAGAUUCAAUUUAGGAA
Molecule: unclassified non-coding RNA, 433 nt
Filed under: Hevea brasiliensis (rubber tree)
Lineage: Eukaryota; Viridiplantae; Streptophyta; Magnoliopsida; Malpighiales; Euphorbiaceae
Source: RNAcentral